GGGGAUGUAGCUCAGCGGGAGAGCACCUGCUUUGCAAGCAGGGGGUCGGCGGUUCAAAUCCGCUCAUCUCCA
Molecule: transfer RNA, 72 nt
Filed under: Ammonifex degensii KC4
Lineage: Bacteria; Bacillati; Bacillota; Clostridia; Thermoanaerobacterales; Thermoanaerobacteraceae
Rfam family: tRNA
About the family: Transfer RNA (tRNA) molecules are approximately 80 nucleotides in length.
Source: Rfam by way of RNAcentral